This 163-nucleotide unclassified non-coding RNA is filed under the name uncultured Pseudeurotiaceae. Its description in RNAcentral is "sequence contains ITS1". Lineage: Eukaryota; Fungi; Ascomycota; Leotiomycetes; Thelebolales; Pseudeurotiaceae. The record is from RNAcentral.
CAGAGUUCUUGCCCUCCGGGGUAGAUCUCCCACCCUUUGUAUAUCUUACCUUUGUUGCUUUGUCGGGCCCGUCCCCCGGGACCGCCGGCUUCGGCUGGCCAGCGCCCGACAGAGGACCCCAACUCUUUGUAUAAUUGUCGUCUGAGUACUAUUUUAAUAGUUA